Molecule: transfer RNA, 66 nt
Filed under: Carpodacus pulcherrimus (Beautiful rosefinch)
Lineage: Eukaryota; Metazoa; Chordata; Aves; Passeriformes; Fringillidae
Description: tRNA-Ser
Source: RNAcentral
GAGGGGAGGUUAAACCAACGAGAACUGCUAACUCUCGAAUCUGAGAAUAACACCUCAGUCCCCUUA